AAGUCGUAACAAGGUUUCCGUAGGUGAACCUGCGGAAGGAUCAUUAUUGAAUGAAUGUAGAGUUGGUUGUCGCUGGCCCUCUUGGGCAUGUGCACGCCUUCUCUUUCAUCCACACACACCUGUGCACUUGUGAGACGGAGGACUUUAAUUAGUCUUCCGUCUACUUAAUCACACAAACUCAUUUAAUUAAAUUGAAUGUAAUUGAUGUAACGCAUCAUUAAAACUAAGUUUCAACAACGGAUCUCUUGGCUCUC
RNAcentral lists this unclassified non-coding RNA (254 nucleotides) under fungal sp. Its description in RNAcentral is "partial internal transcribed spacer region". The stretch from base 1 to 46 matches the Rfam family "Eukaryotic small subunit ribosomal RNA", at positions 1786 to 1831 of the family's 1831-position model. Lineage: Eukaryota; Fungi. The record is from RNAcentral.